GGACUACUAGGGUUUCUAAUCCUGUUCGCUCCCCACGCUUUCGUGACUCACCGUCAGUUUCAGUCCAGUUAGCCGCCUUCGCCACUGGUGUUCUUCCUUAUAUCUACGCAUUUCACCGCUACACAAGGAAUUCCGCUAACCUCUCCUGUACUCUAGUUCAGCAGUUUCUUAUGCAGUCCCUCGGUUGAGCCGAGGAAUUUCACAUAUGACUUGCCAAACCGGCUACUCACCCUUUACACCCAGUAAUUCCGGAUAACGCUUGCCCCCUACGUUUUACCGCGGCUGCUGGCAC
This 292-nucleotide ribosomal RNA is filed under the name uncultured bacterium. Its description in RNAcentral is "partial 16S ribosomal RNA". The record is from RNAcentral.